CGGACGGGUGAGUAAUGUCUGGGAAACUGCCCGAUGGAGGGGGAUAACUAUUGGAAACGGUAGCUAAUACCGCAUAACGUCGCAAGACCAAAGAGGGGACCUUCGGGCCUCUUGCCAUCGGAUGUGCCCAGAUGGGAUUAGCUAGUAGGUGGGGUAACGGCUCACCUAGGCGACGAUCCCUAGCUGGUCUGAGAGGAUGACCAGCCACACUGGAACUGAGACACGGUCCAG
RNAcentral lists this ribosomal RNA (231 nucleotides) under uncultured bacterium. Its description in RNAcentral is "partial 16S ribosomal RNA". It matches the Rfam family "Bacterial small subunit ribosomal RNA", at positions 99 to 334 of the family's 1533-position model. The record is from RNAcentral.